UAGUGUUGGAGCCAGGGUUAGGGUUGGGCUUGGAGCUAGGAUUUUUCUGAGUGCACUGAACCAACUCCCGAGUCUCUAGGACAUUCCUAAAAAAUUUGAUUUUUUUCCCAUAGGAAUGCAUGGGUUAGGGUUAGUGGUUAGGGUUAGGGUUGGAGCUAGGGUUAGGGUUAGGGUUAGGGUUGGAGUUAGGGUUAGUGUUGGAGCUAGGGUUAGGGUUGGGCUUGGAGCUAGGAUUUUUCUGAGUGCAAUGAACCAACCCCCGAGUCUCUAGGACGUUCCUAAAAAAAUUUGAUUUUUUCCCUAUAGGAAUGCAUGGGUUAGGGUUAGGGUUAGGGUUGGAGCUAGGGUUAGGGUUAGGGUUAGGGUUGGAGUUAGGGUUAGUGUUGGAGCUAGGGUUAGGGUUGGGCUUGGAGCUAGGAUUUUUCUGAGUGCAAUGAACCAACUCCCGAGUCUCUAGGACGUUCCUAAAAAAAUUUGAUUUUUUCCCAUAGGAAUGCAUGGGUUAGGGUUAGGGUUAGGGUUGGAGCUAGGGUUAGGGUUAGGGUUAGGGUUGGAGUUAGGGUUAGUGUUGGAGCUAGGGUUAGGGUUGGGCUUGGAGCUAGGUUUUUCUGAGGGUGCACUGAACCAACUCCCGAGUCUCUAGGACAUUCCUAAAAAAAUUUGAUUUUUUCCCAUAGGAAUGCAUGGGUUAGGGUUAUGGUUAGGGUUGGAGCUAGGGUUAGGGUUAGGGUUAGGGUUGGAGUUAGGGUUAGUGUUGGAGCUAGGGUUAGGGUUGGGCUUGGAGCUAGGAUUUUUCUGAGUGCACUGAACCAACUCCCGAGUCUCUAGGACAUUCCUAAAAAAAUUUGAUUUUUUCCCAUAGGAAUGCAUGGGUUAGGGUUAGGGUUAGGGUUGGAGCUAGGGUUAGGGUUAGGGUUAGGGUUGGAGUUAGGGUUAGUGUUGGAGCUAGGGUUAGGGUUGGGCUUGGAGCUAGGAUUUUUCUGAGUGCACUGAACCAACUCCCGAGUCUCUAGGACAUUCCUAAAAAAAUUUGAUUUUUCCCAUAGGAAUGCAUGGGUUAGGGUUAUGGUUAGGGUUAGGGUUGGAGCUAGGGUUAGGGUUAGGGUUAGGGUUGGAGUUAGGGUUAGUGUUGGAGCUAGGGUUAGGGUUGGGCUUGGAGCUAGGAUUUUUCUGAGUGCACUGAACCAACUCCCGAGUCUCUAGGACAUUCCUAAAAAAAUUUGAUUUUUUUCCCAUAGGAAUGCAUGGGUUAGGGUUAGGGUUAUGGUUAGGGUUAGGGUUAGGGUUAGGGUUAGGGUUGGAGUUAGGGUUAGUGUUGGAGCUAGGGUUAGGGUUGGGCUUGGAGCUAGGAUUUUUCUGAGUGCACUGAACCAACUCCCGGGUCUCUAGGACAUUCCUAAAAAAAUUUGAUUUUUUCCCAUAGGAAUGCAUGGGUUAGGGUUAGGGUUAGGGUUGGAGCUAGGGUUAGGGUUAGGGUUAGGGUUGGAGUUAGGGUUAGUGUUGGAGCUAGGGUUAGGGUUGGGCUUGGAGCUAGGAUUUUUCUGAGUGCAAUGAACCAACUCCCGAGUCUCUAGGACAUUCCUAAAAAAAUUUGAUUUUUUCCCAUAGGAAUGCAUGGGUUAGGGUUAGGGUUAGGGUUGGAGCUAGGGUUAGGGUUAGGGUUAGGGUUGGAGUUAGGGUUAGUGUUGGAGCUAGGGUUAGGGUUGGGCUUGGAGCUAGGAUUUUUCUGAGUGCACUGAACCAACUCCCGAGUCUCUAGGACAUUCCUAAAAAAAUUUGAUUUUUUUCCCAUAGGAAUGCAUGGGUUAGGGUUAUGGUUAGGGUUAGGGUUGGAGCUAGGGUUAGGGUUAGGGUUAGGGUUGGAGUUAGGGUUAGUGUUGGAGCUAGGGUUAGGGUUGGGCUUGGAGCUAGGAUUUUUCUGAGUGCAAUGAACCAACCCCCGAGUCUCUAGGACGUUCCUAAAAAAAUUUGAUUUUUUCCCAUAGGAAUGCAUGGGUUAGGGUUAUGGUUAGGGUUGGAGCUAGGGUUAGGGUUAGGGUUAGGGUUGGAGUUAGGGUUAGUGUUGGAGCUAGGGUUAGGGUUGGGCUUGGAGCUAGGAUUUUUCUGAGUGCAAUGAACCAACUCCCGAGUCUCUAGGACGUUCCUAAAAAAUUUGAUUUUUUCCCAUAGGAAUGCAUGGGUUAGGGUUAGGGUUAGGGUUGGAGCUAGGGUUAGGGUUAGGGUUAGGGUUGGAGUUAGGGUUAGUGUUGGAGCUAGGGUUAGGGUUGGGCUUGGAGCUAGGAUUUUUCUGAGUGCACUGAACCAACUCCCGAGUCUCUAGGACGUUCCUAAAAAAAUUUGAUUUUUUCCCAUAGGAAUGCAUGGGUUAGGGUUAUGGUUAGGGUUAGGGUUAGGGUUGGAGUUAGGGUUAGUGUUGGAGCUAGGGUUAGGGUUGGGCUUGGAGCUAGGAUUUUUCUGAGUGCACUGAACCAACUCCCGAGUCUCUAGGACAUUCCUAAAAAAAUUUGAUUUUUUCCCAUAGGAAUGCAUGGGUUAGGGUUAGGGUUAGGGUUGGAGCUAGGGUUAGGGUUAGGGUUAGGGUUGGAGUUAGGGUUAGUGUUGGAGCUAGGGUUAGGGUUGGGCUUGGAGCUAGGAUUUUUCUGAGUGCACUGAACCAACUCCCGAGUCUCUAGGACAUUCCUAAAAAAAUUUGAUUUUUUCCUAUAGGAAUGCAUGGGUUAGGGUUAUGGUUAGGGUUAGGGUUGGAGCUAGGGUUAGGGUUAGGGUUAGGGUUGGAGUUAGGGUUAGUGUUGGAGCUAGGGUUAGGGUUGGGCUUGGAGCUAGGAUUUUUCUGAGUGCACUGAACCAACUCCCGAGUCUCUAGGACAUUCCUAAAAAAAUUUGAUUUUUUCCCAUAGGAAUGCAUGGGUUAGGGUUAGGGUUAGGGUUGGAGCUAGGGUUAGGGUUAGGGUUAGGGUUGGAGUUAGGGUUAGUGUUGGAGCUAGGGUUAGGGUUGGGCUUGGAGCUAGGAUUUUUCUGAGUGCACUGAACCAACUCCCGAGUCUCUAGGACAUUCCUAAAAAAAUUUGAUUUUUUCCUAUAGGAAUGCAUGGGUUAGGGUUAUGGUUAGGGUUAGGGUUGGAGCUAGGGUUAGGGUUAGGGUUAGGGUUGGAGUUAGGGUUAGUGUUGGAGCUAGGGUUAGGGUUGGGCUUGGAGCUAGGAUUUUUCUGAGUGCACUGAACCAACUCCCGAGUCUCUAGGACAUUCCUAAAAAAAUUUGAUUUUUUCCCAUAGGAAUGCAUGGGUUAGGGUUAUGGUUAGGGUAAGGGUUGGAGCUAGGGUUAGGGUUAGGGUUAGGGUUGGAGUUAGGGUUAGUGUUGGAGCUAGGGUUAGGGUUGGGCUUGGAGCUAGGAUUUUUCUGAGUGCAAUGAACCAACUCCCGAGUCUCUAGGACGUUCCUAAAAAAAUUUGAUUUUUUCCCAUAGGAAUGCAUGGGUUAGGGUUAGGGUUAGGGUUGGAGCUAGUGUUAGGGUUAGGGAUAGGGUUGGAGUUAAGGUUAGUGUUGGAGCUAGGGUUAGGGUUGGGCUUGGAGCUAGGAUUUUUCUGAGUGCACUGAACCAACUCCCGAGUCUCUAGGACGUUCCUAAAAAAAUUUGAUUUUUUCCCAUAGGAAUGCAUGGGUUAGGGUUAUGGUUAGGGUUGGAGCUAGGGUUAGGGUUAGGGUUAGGGUUGGAGUUAGGGUUAGUGUUGGAGCUAGGGUUAGGGUUGGGCUUGGAGCUAGGAUUUUUCUGAGUGCAAUGAACCAACUCCCGAGUCUCUAGGACGUUCCUAAAAAAAUUUGAUUUUUUCCCAUAGGAAUGCAUGGGUUAGGGUUAGGGUUAGGGUUGGAGCUAGGGUUAGGGUUAGGGUUAGGGUUGGAGUUAGGGUUAGUGUUGGAGCUAGGGUUAGGGUUGGGCUUGGAGCUAGGAUUUUUCUGAGUGCACUGAACCAACUCCCGAGUCUCUAGGACGUUCCUAAAAAAAUUUGAUUUUUUCCCAUAGGAAUGCAUGGGUUAGGGUUAGGGUUAGGGUUAGGGUUGGAGCUAGGGUUAGGGUUAGGGUUAGGGUUGGAGUUAGGGUUGGGCUUGGAGCUAGGGUUAGGGUUGGGCUUGGAGCUAGGAUUUUUCUGAGUGCAAUGAACCAACCCCGAGUCUCUAGGACGUUCCUAAAAAAUCUGAUUUUUUCCCAUAGGAAUGCAUGGGUUAGGGUUAUGGUUAGGGUUAGGGUUGGAGCUAGGGUUAGGGUUAGGGUUAGGGUUGGAGUUAGGGUUAGUGUUGGAGCUAGGGUUAGGCUUGGGCUUGGAGCUAGGAUUUUUCUGAGUGCAAUGAACCAACUCCCGAGUCUCUAGGACGUUCCUAAAAAAAUUUGAUUUUUUCCCAUAGGAAUGCAUGGGUUAGGGUUAGGGUUAGGGUUGGAGCUAGGGUUAGGGUUAGGGUUAGGGUUGGAGUUAGGGUUAGUGUUGGAGCUAGGGUUAGGGUUGGGCUUGGAGCUAGGAUUUUUCUGAGUGCACUGAACCAACUCCCGAGUCUCUAGGACAUUCCUAAAAAAAUUUGAUUUUUUCCCAUAGGAAUGCAUGGGUUAGGGUUAGGGUUAGGGUUGGAGCUAGGGUUAGGGUUAGGGUUAGGGUUGGAGUUAGGGUUAGUGUUGGAGCUAGGGUUAGGGUUGGGCUUGGAGCUAGGAUUUUUCUGAGUGCACUGAACCAACUCCCGAGUCUCUAGGACAUUCCUAAAAAAUUUGAUUUUUUCCCAUAGGAAUGCAUGGGUUAGGGUUAUGGUUAGGGUUAGGGUUGGAGCUAGGGUUAGGGUUAGGGUUAGGGUUGGAGUUAGGGUUAGUGUUGGAGCUAGGGUUAGGGUUGGGCUUGGAGCUAGGAUUUUUCUGAGUGCAAUGAACCAACUCCCGAGUCUCUUGGACGUUCCUAAAAAAAUUUGAUUUUUUUCCCAUAGGAAUGCAUGGGUUAGGGUUAGGGUUAGGGUUGGAGCUAGGGUUAGGGUUAGGGUUAGGGUUGGAGUUAGGGUUAGUGUUGGAGCUAGGGUUAGGGUUGGGCUUGGAGCUAGGAUUUUUCUGAGUGCACUGAACCAACUCCCGAGUCUCUAGGACAUUCCUAAAAAAAUUUGAUUUUUUCCCAUAGGAAUGCAUGGGUUAGGGUUAGGGUUAGGGUUGGAGCUAGGGUUAGGGUUAGGGUUAGGGUUGGAGUUAGGGUUAGUGUUGGAGCUAGGGUUAGGGUUGGGCUUGGAGCUAGGAUUUUUCUGAGUGCACUGAACCAACUCCCGAGUCUCUAGGACAUUCCUAAAAAAAUUUGAUUUUUUCCCAUAGGAAUGCAUGGGUUAGGGUUAUGGUUAGGGUUAGGGUUGGAGCUAGGGUUAGGGUUAGGGUUAGGGUUGGAGUUAGGGUUAGUGUUGGAGCUAGGGUUAGGGUUGGGCUUGGAGCUAGGAUUUUUCUGAGUGCACUGAACCAACUCCCGAGUCUCUAGGACAUUCCUAAAAAAAUUUGAUUUUUUCCCAUAGGAAUGCAUGGGUUAGGGUUAGGGUUAGGGUUGGAGCUAGGGUUAGGGUUAGGGUUAGGGUUGGAGUUAGGGUUAGUGUUGGAGCUAGGGUUAGGGUUGGGCUUGGAGCUAGGAUUUUUCUGAGUGCACUGAACCAACUCCCGAGUCUCUAGGACAUUCCUAAAAAAAUUUGAUUUUUUCCCAUAGGAAUGCAUGGGUUAGGGUUAUGGUUAGGGUUAGGGUUGGAGCUAGGGUUAGGGUUAGGGUUAGGGUUGGAGUUAGGGUUAGUGUUGGAGCUAGGGUUAGGGUUGGGCUUGGAGCUAGGAUUUUUCUGAGUGCAAUGAACCAACUCCCGAGUCUCUUGGACGUUCCUAAAAAAAUUUGAUUUUUUCCCAUAGGAAUGCAUGGGUUAGGGUUAGGGUUAGGGUUGGAGCUAGGGUUAGGGUUAGGGUUAGGGUUGGAGUUAGGGUUAGUGUUGGAGCUAGGGUUAGGGUUGGGCUUGGAGCUAGGAUUUUUCUGAGUGCACUGAACCAACUCCCGAGUCUCUAGGACAUUCCUAAAAAAAUUUGAUUUUUUCCCAUAGGAAUGCAUGGGUUAGGGUUAGGGUUAGGGUUGGAGCUAGGGUUAGGGUUAGGGUUAGGGUUGGAGUUAGGGUUAGUGUUGGAGCUAGGGUUAGGGUUGGGCUUGGAGCUAGGAUUUUUCUGAGUGCAAUGAACCAACUCCCGAGUCUCUUGGACGUUCCUAAAAAAAUUUGAUUUUUUCCCAUAGGAAUGCAUGGGUUAGGGUUAGGGUUAGGGUUGGAGCUAGGGUUAGGGUUAGGGUUAGGGUUGGAGUUAGGGUUAGUGUUGGAGCUAGGGUAGGGUUGGGCUUGGAGCUAGGAUUUUUCUGAGUGCAAUGAACCAACUCCCGAGUCUCUUGGACGUUCCUAAAAAAAUUUGAUUUUUUCCCAUAGGAAUGCAUGGGUUAGGGUUAGGGUUAGGGUUGGAGCUAGGGUUAGGGUUAGGGUUAGGGUUGGAGUUAGGGUUAGUGUUGGAGCUAGGGUUAGGGUUGGGCUUGGAGCUAGGAUUUUUCUGAGUGCAAUGAACCAACUCCCGGGUCUCUAGGACGUUCCUAAAAAAAUUUGAUUUUUUCCCAUAGGAAUGCAUGGGUAAGGGUUAGGGUUAGGGUUGGAGCUAGGAUUAGGGUUAGGGUUAGGGUUGGAGUUAAGGUUAGUGUUGGAGCUAGGGUUAGGGUUGGGCUUGGAGCUAGGAUUUUUCUGAGUGCAAUGAACCAACUCCCGAGUCUCUAGGACGUUCCUAAAAAAAUUUGAUUUUUUCCCAUAGGAAUGCAUGGGUUAGGGUUAUGGUUAGGGUUAGGGUUGGAGCUAGGGUUAGGGUUAGGGUUAGGGUUGGAGUUAGGGUUAGUGUUGGAGCUAGGGUUAGGGUUGGGCUUGGAGCUAGGAUUUUUCUGAGUGCAAUGAACCAACCCCCGAGUCUCUAGGACGUUCCUAAAAAAUUUGAUUUUUUCCCAUAGGAAUGCAUGGGUUAGGGUUAUGGUUAGGGUUAGGGUUGGAGCUAGGGUUAGGGUUAGGGUUAGGGUUGGAGUUAGGGUUAGUGUUGGAGCUAGGGUUAGGGUUGGGCUUGGAGCUAGGAUUUUUCUGAGUGCAAUGAACCAACUCCCGAGUCUCUAGGACGUUCCUAAAAAAAUUUGAUUUUUUCCCAUAGGAAUGCAUGGGUUAGGGUUAGGGUUAGGGUUGGAGCUAGGGUUAGGGUUAGGGUUAGGGUUGGAGUUAGGGUUAGUGUUGGAGCUAGGGUUAGGGUUGGGCUUGGAGCUAGGAUUUUUCUGAGUGCACUGAACCAACUCCCGAGUCUCUAGGACAUUCCUAAAAAAAUUUGAUUUUUUCCCAUAGGAAUGCAUGGGUUAGGGUUAGGGUUAGGGUUGGAGCUAGGGUUAGGGUUAGGGUUAGGGUUGGAGUUAGGGUUAGUGUUGGAGCUAGGGUUAGGGUUGGGCUUGGAGCUAGGAUUUUUCUGAGUGCACUGAACCAACUCCCGAGUCUCUAGGACAUUCCUAAAAAAAUUUGAUUUUUUCCUAUAGGAAUGCAUGGGUUAGGGUUAUGGUUAGGGUUAGGGUUGGAGCUAGGGUUAGGGUUAGGGUUAGGGUUGGAGUUAGGGUUAGUGUUGGAGCUAGGGUUAGGGUUGGGCUUGGAGCUAGGAUUUUUCUGAGUGCACUGAACCAACUCCCGAGUCUCUAGGACAUUCCUAAAAAAAUUUGAUUUUUUCCCAUAGGAAUGCAUGGGUUAGGGUUAGGGUUAGGGUUGGAGCUAGGGUUAGGGUUAGGGUUAGGGUUGGAGUUAGGGUUAGUGUUGGAGCUAGGGUUAGGGUUGGGCUUGGAGCUAGGAUUUUUCUGAGUGCACUGAACCAACUCCCGAGUCUCUAGGACAUUCCUAAAAAAAUUUGAUUUUUUCCUAUAGGAAUGCAUGGGUUAGGGUUAUGGUUAGGGUUAGGGUUGGAGCUAGGGUUAGGGUUAGGGUUAGGGUUGGAGUUAGGGUUAGUGUUGGAGCUAGGGUUAGGGUUGGGCUUGGAGCUAGGAUUUUUCUGAGUGCACUGAACCAACUCCCGAGUCUCUAGGACAUUCCUAAAAAAAUUUGAUUUUUUCCCAUAGGAAUGCAUGGGUUAGGGUUAUGGUUAGGGUAAGGGUUGGAGCUAGGGUUAGGGUUAGGGUUAGGGUUGGAGUUAGGGUUAGUGUUGGAGCUAGGGUUAGGGUUGGGCUUGGAGCUAGGAUUUUUCUGAGUGCAAUGAACCAACUCCCGAGUCUCUAGGACGUUCCUAAAAAAAUUUGAUUUUUUCCCAUAGGAAUGCAUGGGUUAGGGUUAGGGUUAGGGUUGGAGCUAGUGUUAGGGUUAGGGAUAGGGUUGGAGUUAAGGUUAGUGUUGGAGCUAGGGUUAGGGUUGGGCUUGGAGCUAGGAUUUUUCUGAGUGCAAUGAACCAACUCCCGAGUCUCUAGGACGUUCCUAAAAAAAUUUGAUUUUUUCCCAUAGGAAUGCAUGGGUUAGGGUUAUGGUUAGGGUAAGGGUUGGAGCUAGGGUUAGGGUUAGGGUUAGGGUUGGAGUUAGGGUUAGUGUUGGAGCUAGGGUUAGGGUUGGGCUUGGAGCUAGGAUUUUUCUGAGUGCAAUGAACCAACUCCCGAGUCUCUAGGACGUUCCUAAAAAAAUUUGAUUUUUUCCCAUAGGAAUGCAUGGGUUAGGGUUAGGGUUAGGGUUGGAGCUAGGGUUAGGGUUAGGGAUAGGGUUGGAGUUAAGGUUAGUGUUGGAGCUAGGGUUAGGGUUGGGCUUGGAGCUAGGAUUUUUCUGAGUGCACUGAACCAACUCCCGAGUCUCUAGGACGUUCCUAAAAAAAUUUGAUUUUUUCCCAUAGGAAUGCAUGGGUUAGGGUUAGGGUUAGGGUUAGGGUUGGAGCUAGGGUUAGGGUUAGGGUUAGGGUUGGAGUUAGGGUUGGGCUUGGAGCUAGGGUUAGGGUUGGGCUUGGAGCUAGGAUUUUUCUGAGUGCAAUGAACCAACCCCCGAGUCUCUAGGACGUUCCUAAAAAAAUCUGAUUUUUUCCCAUAGGAAUGCAUGGGUUAGGGUUAUGGUUAGGGUUAGGGUUGGAGCUAGGGUUAGGGUUAGGGUUAGGGUUGGAGUUAGGGUUAGUGUUGGAGCUAGGGUUAGGCUUGGGCUUGGAGCUAGGAUUUUUCUGAGUGCAAUGAACCAACUCCCGAGUCUCUAGGACGUUCCUAAAAAAAUUUGAUUUUUUCCCAUAGGAAUGCAUGGGUUAGGGUUAGGGUUAGGGUUGGAGCUAGGGUUAGGGUUAGGGUUAGGGUUGGAGUUAGGGUUAGUGUUGGAGCUAGGGUUAGGGUUGGGCUUGGAGCUAGGAUUUUUCUGAGUGCACUGAACCAACUCCCGAGUCUCUAGGACAUUCCUAAAAAAAUUUGAUUUUUUCCCAUUGGAAUGCAUGGGUUAGGGUUAGGGUUAGGGUUGGAGCUAGGGUUAGGGUUAGGGUUAGGGUUGGAGUUAGGGUUAGUGUUGGAGCUAGGGUUAGGGUUGGGCUUGGAGCUAGGAUUUUUCUGAGUGCACUGAACCAACUCCCGAGUCUCUAGGACAUUCCUAAAAAAAUUUGAUUUUUUCCCAUAGGAAUGCAUGGGUUAGGGUUAUGGUUAGGGUUAGGGUUGGAGCUAGGGUUAGGGUUAGGGUUAGGGUUGGAGUUAGGGUUAGUGUUGGAGCUAGGGUUAGGGUUGGGCUUGGAGCUAGGAUUUUUCUGAGUGCAAUGAACCAACUCCCGAGUCUCUUGGACGUUCCUAAAAAAAUUUGAUUUUUUCCCAUAGGAAUGCAUGGGUUAGGGUUAGGGUUAGGGUUGGAGCUAGGGUUAGGGUUAGGGUUAGGGUUGGAGUUAGGGUUAGUGUUGGAGCUAGGGUUAGGGUUGGGCUUGGAGCUAGGAUUUUUCUGAGUGCACUGAACCAACUCCCGAGUCUCUAGGACAUUCCUAAAAAAAUUUGAUUUUUUCCCAUAGGAAUGCAUGGGUUAGGGUUAGGGUUAGGGUUGGAGCUAGGGUUAGGGUUAGGGUUAGGGUUGGAGUUAGGGUUAGUGUUGGAGCUAGGGUUAGGGUUGGGCUUGGAGCUAGGAUUUUUCUGAGUGCACUGAACCAACUCCCGAGUCUCUAGGACAUUCCUAAAAAAAUUUGAUUUUUUCCCAUAGGAAUGCAUGGGUUAGGGUUAUGGUUAGGGUUAGGGUUGGAGCUAGGGUUAGGGUUAGGGUUAGGGUUGGAGUUAGGGUUAGUGUUGGAGCUAGGGUUAGGGUUGGGCUUGGAGCUAGGAUUUUUCUGAGUGCACUGAACCAACUCCCGAGUCUCUAGGACAUUCCUAAAAAAAUUUGAUUUUUUCCCAUAGGAAUGCAUGGGUUAGGGUUAGGGUUAGGGUUGGAGCUAGGGUUAGGGUUAGGGUUAGGGUUGGAGUUAGGGUUAGUGUUGGAGCUAGGGUUAGGGUUGGGCUUGGAGCUAGGAUUUUUCUGAGUGCACUGAACCAACUCCCGAGUCUCUAGGACAUUCCUAAAAAAAUUUGAUUUUUUCCCAUAGGAAUGCAUGGGUUAGGGUUAUGGUUAGGGUUAGGGUUGGAGCUAGGGUUAGGGUUAGGGUUAGGGUUGGAGUUAGGGUUAGUGUUGGAGCUAGGGUUAGGGUUGGGCUUGGAGCUAGGAUUUUUCUGAGUGCAAUGAACCAACUCCCGAGUCUCUUGGACGUUCCUAAAAAAAUUUGAUUUUUUCCCAUAGGAAUGCAUGGGUUAGGGUUAGGGUUAGGGUUGGAGCUAGGGUUAGGGUUAGGGUUAGGGUUGGAGUUAGGGUUAGUGUUGGAGCUAGGGUUAGGGUUGGGCUUGGAGCUAGGAUUUUUCUGAGUGCACUGAACCAACUCCCGAGUCUCUAGGACAUUCCUAAAAAAAUUUGAUUUUUUCCCAUAGGAAUGCAUGGGUUAGGGUUAGGGUUAGGGUUGGAGCUAGGGUUAGGGUUAGGGUUAGGGUUGGAGUUAGGGUUAGUGUUGGAGCUAGGGUUAGGGUUGGGCUUGGAGCUAGGAUUUUUCUGAGUGCAAUGAACCAACUCCCGAGUCUCUUGGACGUUCCUAAAAAAAUUUGAUUUUUUCCCAUAGGAAUGCAUGGGUUAGGGUUAGGGUUAGGGUUGGAGCUAGGGUUAGGGUUAGGGUUAGGGUUGGAGUUAGGGUUAGUGUUGGAGCUAGGGAUAGGGUUGGGCUUGGAGCUAGGAUUUUUCUGAGUGCAAUGAACCAACUCCCGAGUCUCUUGGACGUUCCUAAAAAAAUUUGAUUUUUUCCCAUAGGAAUGCAUGGGUUAGGGUUAGGGUUAGGGUUGGAGCUAGGGUUAGGGUUAGGGUUAGGGUUGGAGUUAGGGUUAGUGUUGGAGCUAGGGUUAGGGUUGGGCUUGGAGCUAGGAUUUUUCUGAGUGCAAUGAACCAACUCCCGGGUCUCUAGGACGUUCCUAAAAAAAUUUGAUUUUUUCCCAUAGGAAUGCAUGGGUAAGGGUUAGGGUUAGGGUUGGAGCUAGGAUUAGGGUUAGGGUUAGGGUUGGAGUUAAGGUUAGUGUUGGAGCUAGGGUUAGGGUUGGGCUUGGAGCUAGGAUUUUUCUGAGUGCAAUGAACCAACUCCCGAGUCUCUAGGACGUUCCUAAAAAAAUUUGAUUUUUUCCCAUAGGAAUGCAUGGGUUAGGGUUAUGGUUAGGGUUAGGGUUGGAGCUAGGGUUAGGGUUAGGGUUAGGGUUGGAGUUAGGGUUAGUGUUGGAGCUAGGGUUAGGGUUGGGCUUGGAGCUAGGAUUUUUCUGAGUGCAAUGAACCAACCCCCGAGUCUCUAGGACGUUCCUAAAAAAUUUGAUUUUUUCCCAUAGGAAUGCAUGGGUUAGGGUUAUGGUUAGGGUUAGGGUUGGAGCUAGGGUUAGGGUUAGGGUUAGGGUUGGAGUUAGGGUUAGUGUUGGAGCUAGGGUUAGGGUUGGGCUUGGAGCUAGGAUUUUUCUGAGUGCAAUGAACCAACUCCCGAGUCUCUAGGACGUUCCUAAAAAAUUUGAUUUUUUCCCAUAGGAAUGCAUGGGUUAGGGUUAGGGUUAGGGUUGGAGCUAGGGUUAGGGUUAGGGUUAGGGUUGGAGUUAGGGUUAGUGUUGGAGCUAGGGUUAGGGUUGGGCUUGGAGCUAGGAUUUUUCUUAGUGCAGUGAACCAACUCCCGAGUCUCUAGGACAUUCCUAAAAAAUUUGAUUUUUUCCCAUAGGAAUGCAUGGGUUAGGGUUAGGGUUAGGGUUGGAGCUAGGGUUAGGGUUAGGGUUAGGGUUGGAGUUAGGGUUAGUGUUGGAGCUAGGGUUAGGGUUGGGCUUGGAGCUAGGAUUUUUCUGAGUGCACUGAACCAACUCCCGAGUCUCUAGGACAUUCCUAAAAAAAUUUGAUUUUUUCCCAUAGGAAUGCAUGGGUUAGGGUUAUGGUUAGGGUUAGGGUUGGAGCUAGGGUUAGGGUUAGGGUUAGGGUUGGAGUUAGGGUUAGUGUUGGAGCUAGGGUUAGGGUUGGGCUUGGAGCUAGGAUUUUUCUGAGUGCAAUGAACCAACUCCCGAGUCUCUUGGACGUUCCUAAAAAAAUUUGAUUUUUUCCCAUAGGAAUGCAUGGGUUAGGGUUAGGGUUAGGGUUGGAGCUAGGGUUAGGGUUAGGGUUAGGGUUGGAGUUAGGGUUAGUGUUGGAGCUAGGGUUAGGGUUGGGCUUGGAGCUAGGAUUUUUCUGAGUGCACUGAACCAACUCCCGAGUCUCUAGGACAUUCCUAAAAAAAUUUGAUUUUUUCCCAUAGGAAUGCAUGGGUUAGGGUUAGGGUUAGGGUUGGAGCUAGGGUUAGGGUUAGGGUUAGGGUUGGAGUUAGGGUUAGUGUUGGAGCUAGGGUUAGGGUUGGGCUUGGAGCUAGGAUUUUUCUGAGUGCACUGAACCAACUCCCGAGUCUCUAGGACAUUCCUAAAAAAAUUUGAUUUUUUCCCAUAGGAAUGCAUGGGUUAGGGUUAUGGUUAGGGUUAGGGUUGGAGCUAGGGUUAGGGUUAGGGUUAGGGUUGGAGUUAGGGUUAGUGUUGGAGCUAGGGUUAGGGUUGGGCUUGGAGCUAGGAUUUUUCUGAGUGCAAUGAACCAACUCCCGAGUCUCUUGGACGUUCCUAAAAAAAUGUGAUUUUUUCCCAUAGGAAUGCAUGGGUUAGGGUUAGGGUUAGGGUUGGAGCUAGGGUUAGGGUUAGGGUUAGGGUUGGAGUUAGGGUUAGUGUUGGAGCUAGGGUUAGGGUUGGGCUUGGAGCUAGGAUUUUUCUGAGUGCACUGAACCAACUCCCGAGUCUCUAGGACAUUCCUAAAAAAAUUUGAUUUUUUCCCAUAGGAAUGCAUGGGUUAGGGUUAGGGUUAGGGUUGGAGCUAGGGUUAGGGUUAGGGUUAGGGUUGGAGUUAGGGUUAGUGUUGGAGCUAGGGUUAGGGUUGGGCUUGGAGCUAGGAUUUUUCUGAGUGCACUGAACCAACUCCCGAGUCUCUAGGACAUUCCUAAAAAAAUUUGAUUUUUUCCCAUAGGAAUGCAUGGGUUAGGGUUAUGGUUAGGGUUAGGGUUGGAGCUAGGGUUAGGGUUAGGGUUAGGGUUGGAGUUAGGGUUAGUGUUGGAGCUAGGGUUAGGGUUGGGCUUGGAGCUAGGAUUUUUCUGAGUGCAAUGAACCAACUCCCGAGUCUCUUGGACGUUCCUAAAAAAAUUUGAUUUUUUCCCAUAGGAAUGCAUGGGUUAGGGUUAGGGUUAGGGUUGGAGCUAGGGUUAGGGUUAGGGUUAGGGUUGGAGUUAGGGUUAGUGUUGGAGCUAGGGUUAGGGUUGGGCUUGGAACUAGGAUUUUUCUGAGUGCAAUGAACCAACUCCCGAGUCUCUAGGACGUUCCUAAAAAAAUUUGAUUUUUUCCCAUAGGAAUGCAUGGGUUAGGGUUAGGGUUAGGGUUGGAGCUAGGGUUAGGGUUAGGGUUAGGGUUGGAGUUAAGGUUAGUGUUGGAGCUAGGGUUAGGGUUGGGCUUGGAGCUAGGAUUUUUCUGAGUGCAAUGAACCAACUCCCGAGUCUCUAGGACGUUCCUAAAAAAAUUUGAUUUUUUCCCAUAGGAAUGCAUGGGUUAGGGUUAUGGUUAGGGUUAGGGUUGGAGCUAGGGUUAGGGUAAGGGUUAGGGUUGGAGUUAGGGUUAGUGUUGGAGCUAGGGUUAGGGUUGGGCUUGGAGCUAGGAUUUUUCUGAGUGCAAUGAACCAACCCCCGAGUCUCUAGGACGUUCCUAAAAAAAUUUGAUUUUUUCCCAUAGGAAUGCAUGGGUUAGGGUUAUGGUUAGGGUUAGGGUUGGAGCUAGGGUUAGGGUUAGGGUUGGAGUUAGGGUUAGUGUUGGAGCUAGGGUUAGGGUUGGGCUUGGAGCUAGGAUUUUUCUGAGUGCAAUGAACCAACUCCCGAGUCUCUAGGACAUUCCUAAAAAAAUUUGAUUUUUUUCCCAUAGGAAUGCAUGGGUUAGGGUUAGGGUUAGGGUUGGAGCUAGGGUUAGGGUUAGGGUUAGGGUUGGAGUUAGGGUUAGUGUUGGAGCUAGGGUUAGGGUUGGGCUUGGAGCUAGGAUUUUUCUGAGUGCAAUGAACCAACUCCCGAGUCUCUAGGACGUUCCUAAAAAAAUUUGAUUUUUUCCCAUAGGAAUGCAUGGGUUAGGGUUAGGGUUAGGGUUGGAGCUAGGGUUAGGGUUAGGGUUAGGGUUGGAGUUAGGGUUAGUGUUGGAGCUAGGGUUAGGGUUGGGCUUGGAGCUAGGAUUUUUCUGAGUGCACUGAACCAACUCCUGAGUCUCUAGGACAUUCCUAAAAAAAUUGAUUUUUUCCCAUAGGAAUGCAUGGGUUAGGGUUAGGGUUAGGGUUGGAGCUAGGGUUAGGGUUAGGGUUAGGGUUGGAGUUAGGGUUAGUGUUGGAGCUAGGGUUAGGGUUGGGCUUGGAGCUAGGAUUUUUCUGAGUGCACUGAACCAACUCCCGAGUCUCUAGGACAUUCCUAAAAAAAUUUGAUUUUUUCCCAUAGGAAUGCAUGGGUUAGGGUUAGGGUUAGGGUUGGAGCUAGGGUUAGGGUUAGGGUUAGGGUUGGAGUUAGGGUUAGUGUUGGAGCUAGGGUUAGGGUUGGGCUUGGAGCUAGGAUUUUUCUGGGUGCAAUGAACCAACUCCCGAGUCUCUUGGACGUUCCUAAAAAAUUUGAUUUUUUCCCAUUGCAAUGCAUUUGUUAGGGUUAGGGUUAGGGUUAGGGUUAGGGUUGGAGCUAGGGUUAGGGUUAGGGUUAGGGUUGGAGUUAGGGUUAGUGUUGGAGCUAGGGUUAGGGUUGGGCUUGGAGCUAGGAUUUUUCUGAGUGCAAUGAACCAACUCCCGAGUCUCUAGGACGUUCCUAAAAAAAUUUGAUUUUUUCCCAUAGGAAUGCAUGGGUUAGGGUUAUGGUUAGGGUUAGGGUUGGAGCUAGGGUUAGGGUUAGGGUUAGGGUUGGAGUUAGGGUUAGUGUUGGAGCUAGGGUUAGGGUUGGGCUUGGAGCUAGGAUUUUUCUGAGUGCAAUGAACCAACCCCCGAGUCUCUAGGACGUUCCUAAAAAAAUUUGAUUUUUUCCCAUAGGAAUGCAUGGGUUAGGGUUAUGGUUAGGGUUAGGGUUGGAGCUAGGGUUAGGGUUAGGGUUAGGGUUGGAGUUAGGGUUAGUGUUGGAGCUAGGGUUAGGGUUGGGCUUGGAGCUAGGAUUUUUCUGAGUGCAAUGAACCAACUCCCGAGUCUCUAGGACGUUCCUAAAAAAAUUUGAUUUUUUCCCAUAGGAAUGCAUGGGUUAGGGUUAGGGUUAGGGUUGGAGCUAGGGUUAGGGUUAGGGUUAGGGUUGGAGUUAGGGUUAGUGUUGGAGCUAGGGUUAGGGUUGGGCUUGGAGCUAGGAUUUUUCUGAGUGCAAUGAACCAACUCCCGAAUCUCUAGGACAUUCCUAAAAAAAUUUGAUUUUUUCCCAUAGGAAUGCAUGGGUUAGGGUUAGGGUUAGGGUUGGAGCUAGGGUUAGGGUUAGGGUUAGGGUUGGAGUUAGGGUUAGUGUUGGAGCUAGGGUUAGGGUUGGGCUUGGAGCUAGGAUUUUUCUGAGUGCACUGAACCAACUCCCGAGUCUCUAGGACAUUCCAAAAAAAAUUUGAUUUUUUCCCAUAGGAAUGCAUGGGUUAGGGUUAUGGUUAGGGUUAGGGUUGGAGCUAGGGUUAGGGUUAGGGUUAGGGUUGGAGUUAGGGUUAGUGUUGGAGCUAGGGUUAGGGUUGGGCUUGGAGCUAGGAUUUUUCUGAGUGCAAUGAACCAACUCCCGAGUCUCUUGGACGUUCCUAAAAAAAUUUGAAUUUUUCCAAUAGGAAUGCAUGGGUUAGGGUUAGGGUUAGGGUUGGAGCUAGGGUUAGGGUUAGGGUUAGGGUUGGAGUUAGGGUUAGUGUUGGAGCUAGGGUUAGGGUUGGGCUUGGAGCUAGGAUUUUUCUGAGUGCACUGAACCAACUCCCGAGUCUCUAGGACGUUCCUAAAAAAAUUUGAUUUUUUCCCAUAGGAAUGCAUGGGUUAGGGUUAGGGUUAGGGUUGGAGCUAGGGUUAGGGUUAGGGUUAGGGUUGGAGUUAGGGUUAGUGUUGGAGCUAGGGUUAGGGUUGGGCUUGGAGCUAGGAUUUUUCUGAGUGCACUGAACCAACUCCUGAGUCUCUAGGACAUUCCUAAAAAAAUUGAUUUUUUCCCAUAGGAAUGCAUGGGUUAGGGUUAGGGUUAGGGUUGGAGCUAGGGUUAGGGUUAGGGUUAGGGUUGGAGUUAGGGUUAGUGUUGGAGCUAGGGUUAGGGUUGGGCUUGGAGCUAGGAUUUUUCUGAGUGCACUGAACCAACUCCCGAGUCUCUAGGACAUUCCUAAAAAAAAUUGAUUUUUUCCCAUAGGAAUGCAUGGGUUAGGGUUAGGGUUAGGGUUGGAGCUAGGGUUAGGGUUAGGGUUAGGGUUGGAGUUAGGGUUAGUGUUGGAGCUAGGGUUAGGGUUGGGCUUGGAGCUAGGAUUUUUCUGAGUGCACUGAACCAACUCCCGAGUCUCUAGGACAUUCCUAAAAAAAUUUGAUUUUUUCCCAUAGGAAUGCAUGGGUUAGGGUUAUGGUUAGGGUUAGGGUUAGGGUUGGAGUUAGGGUUAGUGUUGGAGCUAGGGUUAGGGUUGGGCUUGGAGCUAGGAUUUUUCUGAGUGCAAUGAACCAACUCCCGAGUCUCUUGGACGUUCCUAAAAAAAAUUGAUUUUUUCCCAUAGGAAUGCAUGGGUUAGGGUUAGGGUUAGGGUUGGAGCUAGGGUUAGGGUUAGGGUUAGGGUUGGAGUUAGGGUUAGUGUUGGAGCUAGGGUUAGGGUUGGGCUUGGAGCUAGGAUUUUUCUGAGUGCAAUGAACCAACUCCCGAGUCUCUAGGACGUUCCUAAAAAAUUUGAUUUUUUCCCAUAGGAAUGCAUGGGUUAGGGUUAGGGUUAGGGUUGGAGCUAGGGUUAGGGUUAGGGUUAGGGUUCGAGUUAAGGUUAGUGUUGGAGCUAGGGUUAGGGUUGGGCUUGGAGCUAGGAUUUUUCUGAGUGCAAUGAACCAACUCCCGAGUCUCUAGGACGUUCCUAAAAAAAUUUGAUUUUUUCCCAUAGGAAUGCAUGGGUUAGGGUUAUGGUUAGGGUUAGGGUUGGAGCUAGGGUUAGGGUUAGGGUUAGGGUUGGAGUAAGGGUUAGUGUUGGAGCUAGGGUUAGGGUUGGGCUUGGAGCUAGGAUUUUUCUGAGUGCAAUGAACCAACCCCCGAGUCUCUAGGACGUUCCUAAAAAAUUUGAUUUUUUCCCAUAGGAAUGCAUGGAUUAGGGUUAGGGUUAGGGUUGGAGCUAGGGUUAGGGUUAGGGUUAGGGUUGGAGUUAGGGUUAGUGUUGGAGCUAGGGUUAGGGUUGGGCUUGGAGCUAGGAUUUUUCUGAGUGCAAUGAACCAACUCCCGAGUCUCUAGGACGUUCCUAAAAAAAUUUGAUUUUUUCCCAUAGGAAUGCAUGGGUUAGGGUUAGGGUUAGGGUUGGAGCUAGGGUUAGGGUUAGGGUUAGGGUUGGAGUUAGGGUUAGUGUUGGAGCUAGGGUUAGGGUUGGGCUUGGAGCUAGGAUUUUUCUGAGUGCACUGAACCAACUCCCGAGUCUCUAGGACAUUCCUAAAAAAAUUUGAUUUUUUCCCAUAGGAAUGCAUGGGUUAGGGUUAGGGUUAGGGUUGGAGCUAGGGUUAGGGUUAGGGUUAGGGUUGGAGUUAGGGUUAGUGUUGGAGCUAGGGUUAGGGUUGGGCUUGGAGCUAGGAUUUUUCUGAGUGCACUGAACCAACUCCCGAGUCUCUAGGACAUUCCUAAAAAAUUUGAUUUUUUCCCAUAGGAAUGCAUGGGUUAGGGUUAGGGUUAGGGUUGGAGCUAGGGUUAGGGUUAGGGUUAGGGUUGGAGUUAGGGUUAGUGUUGGAGCUAGGGUUAGGGUUGGGCUUGGAGCUAGGAUUUUUCUGAGUGCAAUGAACCAACCCCCGAGUCUCUAGGACGUCCCAAAAAAAAUUUGAUUUUUUCCCAUAGGAAUGCAUGGGUUAGGGUUAUGGUAAGGGUUAGGGUUGGAGCUAGGGUUAGGGUUAGGGUUAGGGUUGGAGUUAGGGUUAGUGUUGGAGCUAGGGUUAGGGUUGGGCUUGGAGCUAGGAUUUUUCUGAGUGCAAUGAACCAACUCCCGAGUCUCUAGGACAUUCCUAAAAAAAUUUGAUUUUUUCCCAUAGGAAUGCAUGGGUUAGGGUUAGGGUUAGGGUUGGAGCUAGGGUUAGGGUUAGGGUUAGGGUUGGAGUUAGGGUUAGUGUUGGAGCUAGGGUUAGGGUUGGGCUUGGAGCUAGGAUUUUUCUGAGUGCAAUGAACCAACUCCCGAGUCUCUUGGACGUUCCUAAAAAAAUUUGAUUUUUUCCCAUAGGAAUGCAUGGGUUAGGGUUAGGGUUAGGGUUGGAGCUAGGGUUAGGGUUAGGGUUAGGGUUGGAGUUAGGGUUAGUGUUGGAGCUAGGGUUAGGGUUGGGCUUGGAGCUAGGAUUUUUCUGAGUGCACUGAACCAACUCCCGAGUCUCUAGGACAUUCCUAAAAAAAUUUGAUUUUUUCCCAUAGGAAUGCAUGGGUUAGGGUUAUGGUUAGGGUUAGGGUUGGAGCUAGGGUUAGGGUUAGGGUUAGGGUUGGAGUUAGGGUUAGUGUUGGAGCUAGGGUUAGGGUUGGGCUUGGAGCUAGGAUUUUUCUGAGUGCAAUGAACCAACUCCCGAGUCUCUUGGACGUUCCUAAAAAAAUUUGAUUUUUUUCCAUAGGAAUGCAUGGGUUAGGGUUAGGGUUAGGGUUGGAGCUAGGGUUAGGGUUAGGGUUAGGGUUGGAGUUAGGGUUAGUGUUGGAGCUAGGGUUAGGGUUGGGCUUGGAGCUAGGAUUUUUCUGAGUGCACUGAACCAACUCCCGAGUCUCUAGGACAUUCCUAAAAAAAUUUGAUUUUUUCCCAUAGGAAUGCAUGGGUUAGGGUUAGGGUUAGGGUUGGAGCUAGGGUUAGGGUUAGGGUUAGGGUUGGAGUUAGGGUUAGUGUUGGAGCUAGGGUUAGGGUUGGGCUUGGAGCUAGGAUUUUUCUGAGUGCACUGAACCAACUCUCGAGUCUCUAGGACAUUCCUAAAAAAAUUUGAUUUUUUCCCAUAGGAAUGCAUGGGUUAGGGUUAGGGUUAGUGUUGGAGCUAGGGUUAGGGUUGGGCUUGGAGCUAGGAUUUUUCUGAGUGCAAUGAACCAACUCCCGAGUCUCUAGGACGUUCCUAAAAAAAUUUGAUUUUUUCCCAUAGGAAUGCAUGGGUUAGGGUUAGGGUUAGGGUUGGAGCUAGGGUUAGGGUUAGGGUUAGGGUUCGAGUUAAGGUUAGUGUUGGAGCUAGGGUUAGGGUUGGGCUUGGAGCUAGGAUUUUUCUGAGUGCAAUGAACCAACUCCCGAGUCUCUAGGACGUUCCUAAAAAAAUUUGAUUUUUUCCCAUAGGAAUGCAUGGGUUAGGGUUAUGGUUAGGGUUAGGGUUGGAGCUAGGGUUAGGGUUAGGGUUAGGGUUGGAGUAAGGGUUAGUGUUGGAGCUAGGGUUAGGGUUGGGCUUGGAGCUAGGAUUUUUCUGAGUGCAAUGAACCAACUCCCGAGUCUCUAGGACGUUCCUAAAAAAAUUUGAUUUUUUCCCAUAGGAAUGCAUGGAUUAGGGUUAGGGUUAGGGUUGGAGCUAGGGUUAGGGUUAGGGUUAGGGUUGGAGUUAGGGUUAGUGUUGGAGCUAGGGUUAGGGUUGGGCUUGGAGCUAGGAUUUUUCUGAGUGCAAUGAACCAACUCCCGAGUCUCUAGGACGUUCCUAAAAAAAUUUGAUUUUUUCCCAUAGGAAUGCAUGGGUUAGGGUUAGGGUUAGGGUUGGAGCUAGGGUUAGGGUUAGGGUUAGGGUUGGAGUUAGGGUUAGUGUUGGAGCUAGGGUUAGGGUUGGGCUUGGAGCUAGGAUUUUUCUGAGUGCACUGAACCAACUCCCGAGUCUCUAGGACAUUCCUAAAAAAAUUUGAUUUUUUCCCAUAGGAAUGCAUGGGUUAGGGUUAGGGUUAGGGUUGGAGCUAGGGUUAGGGUUAGGGUUAGGGUUGGAGUUAGGGUUAGUGUUGGAGCUAGGGUUAGGGUUGGGCUUGGAGCUAGGAUUUUUCUGAGUGCACUGAACCAACUCCCGAGUCUCUAGGACAUUCCUAAAAAAAUUUGAUUUUUUCCCAUAGGAAUGCAUGGGUUAGGGUUAGGGUUAGGGUUGGAGCUAGGGUUAGGGUUAGGGUUAGGGUUGGAGUUAGGGUUAGUGUUGGAGCUAGGGUUAGGGUUGGGCUUGGAGCUAGGAUUUUUCUGAGUGCAAUGAACCAACCCCCGAGUCUCUAGGACGUCCCAAAAAAAAUUUGAUUUUUUCCCAUAGGAAUGCAUGGGUUAGGGUUAUGGUAAGGGUUAGGGUUGGAGCUAGGGUUAGGGUUAGGGUUAGGGUUGGAGUUAGGGUUAGUGUUGGAGCUAGGGUUAGGGUUGGGCUUGGAGCUAGGAUUUUUCUGAGUGCAAUGAACCAACUCCCGAGUCUCUAGGACAUUCCUAAAAAAAUUUGAUUUUUUCCCAUAGGAAUGCAUGGGUUAGGGUUAGGGUUAGGGUUGGAGCUAGGGUUAGGGUUAGGGUUAGGGUUGGAGUUAGGGUUAGUGUUGGAGCUAGGGUUAGGGUUGGGCUUGGAGCUAGGAUUUUUCUGAGUGCAAUGAACCAACUCCCGAGUCUCUUGGACGUUCCUAAAAAAAUUUGAUUUUUUCCCAUAGGAAUGCAUGGGUUAGGGUUAGGGUUAGGGUUGGAGCUAGGGUUAGGGUUAGGGUUAGGGUUGGAGUUAGGGUUAGUGUUGGAGCUAGGGUUAGGGUUGGGCUUGGAGCUAGGAUUUUUCUGAGUGCAAUGAACCAACUCCCGAGUCUCUAGGACGUUCCUAAAAAAAUUUGAUUUUUUCCCAUAGGAAUGCAUGGGUUAGGGUUAGGGUUAGGGUUGGAGCUAGGGUUAGGGUUAGGGUUAGGGUUGGAGUUAAGGUUAGUGUUGGAGCUAGGGUUAGGGUUGGGCUUGGAGCUAGGAUUUUUCUGAGUGCAAUGAACCAACUCCCGAGUCUCUAGGACGUUCCUAAAAAAAUUUGAUUUUUUCCCAUAGGAAUGCAUGGGUUAGGGUUAUGGUUAGGGUUAGGGUUGGAGCUAGGGUUAGGGUUAGGGUUAGGGUUGGAGUUAGGGUUAGUGUUGGAGCUAGGGUUAGGGUUGGGCUUGGAGCUAGGAUUUUUCUGAGUGCAAUGAACCAACCCCCGAGUCUCUAGGACGUUCCUAAAAAAAUUUGAUUUUUUCCCAUAGGAAUGCAUGGGUUAGGGUUAUGGUUAGGGUUAGGGUUGGAGCUAGGGUUAGGGUUAGGGUUAGGGUUGGAGUUAGGGUUAGUGUUGGAGCUAGGGUUAGGGUUGGGCUUGGAGCUAGGAUUUUUCUGAGUGCAAUGAACCAACUCCCGAGUCUCUAGGACGUUCCUAAAAAAAUUUGAUUUUUUCCCAUAGGAAUGCAUGGGUUAGGGUUAGGGUUAGGGUUGGAGCUAGGGUUAGGGUUAGGGUUAGGGUUGGAGUUAGGGUUAGUGUUGGAGCUAGGGUUAGGGUUGGGCUUGGAGCUAGGAUUUUUCUGAGUGCACUGAACCAACUCCCGAGUCUCUAGGACAUUCCUAAAAAAAUUUGAUUUUUUCCCAUAGGAAUGCAUGGGUUAGGGUUAGGGUUAGGGUUGGAGCUAGGGUUAGGGUUAGGGUUAGGGUUGGAGUUAGGGUUAGUGUUGGAGCUAGGGUUAGGGUUGGGCUUGGAGCUAGGAUUUUUCUGAGUGCACUGAACCAACUCCCGAGUCUCUAGGACAUUCCUAAUAAAAUUUGAUUUUUUCCAAUAGGAAUGCAUGGGUUAGGGUUAGGGUUAGGGUUGGAGCUAGGGUUAGGGUUAGGGUUAGGGUUGGAGUUAGGGUUAGUGUUGGAGCUAGGGUUAGGGUUGGGCUUGGAGCUAGGAUUUUUCUGAGUGCACUGAACCAACUCCCGAGUCUCUAGGACAUUCCUAAAAAAAUUUGAUUUUUUCCCAUAGGAAUGCAUGGGUUAGGGUUAUGGUUAGGGUUAGGGUUGGAGCUAGGGUUAGGGUUAGGGUUAGGGUUGGAGUUAGGGUUAGUGUUGGAGCUAGGGUUAGGGUUGGGCUUGGAGCUAAGGAUUUUUCUGAGUGCAAUGAACCAACUCCCGAGUCUCUUGGACGUUCCUAAAAAAAUUUGAUUUUUUUCCAUAGGAAUGCAUGGGUUAGGGUUAGGGUUAGGGUUGGAGCUAGGGUUAGGGUUAGGGUUAGGGUUGGAGUUAGGGUUAGUGUUGGAGCUAGGGUUAGGGUUGGGCUUGGAGCUAGGAUUUUUCUGAGUGCACUGAACCAACUCCCGAGUCUCUAGGACAUUCCUAAAAAAAUUUGAUUUUUUCCCAUAGGAAUGCAUGGGUUAGGGUUAGGGUUAGGGUUGGAGCUAGGGUUAGGGUUAGGGUUAGGGUUGGAGUUAGGGUUAGUGUUGGAGCUAGGGUUAGGGUUGGGCUUGGAGCUAGGAUUUUUCUGAGUGCACUGAACCAACUCUCGAGUCUCUAGGACAUUCCUAAAAAAAUUUGAUUUUUUCCCAUAGGAAUGCAUGGGUUAGGGUUAUGGUUAGGGUUAGGGUUGGAGCUAGGGUUAGGGUUAGGGUUAGGGUUGGAGUUAGGGUUAGUGUUGGAGCUAGGGUUAGGGUUGGGCUUGGAGCUAGGAUUUUUCUGAGUGCAAUGAACCAACUCCCGAGUCUCUUGGACGUUCCUAAAAAAAUUUGAUUUUUUCCCAUAGGAAUGCAUGGGUUAGGGUUAGGGUUAGGGUUGGAGCUAGGGUUAGGGUUAGGGUUAGGGUUGGAGUUAGGGUUAGUGUUGGAGCUAGGGUUAGGGUUGGGCUUGGAGCUAGGAUUUUUCUGAGUGCACUGAACCAACUCCCGAGUCUCUGGGACAUUCCUAAAAAAAUUUGAUUUUUUCCCAUAGGAAUGCAUGGGUUAGGGUUAGGGUUAGGCUUGGAGCUAGGGUUAGGGUUAGGGUUAGGGUUGGAGUUAGGGUUAGUGUUGGAGCUAGGGUUAGGGUUGGGCUUGGAGCUAGGAUUUUUCUGAGUGCACUGAACCAACUCCCGAGUCUCUAGGACAUUCCUAAAAAAAUUUGAUUUUUUUCCCAUAGGAAUGCAUGGGUUAGGGUUAGGGUUAGGGUUAGGGUUGGAGCUAGGGUUAGGGUUAGGGUUAGGGUUGGAGUUAGGGUUAGUGUUGGAGCUAGGGUUAGGGUUGGGCUUGGAGCUAGGAUUUUUCUGAGUGCACUGAACCAACUCCCGAGUCUCUAGGACAUUCCUAAAAAAAUUGAUUUUUUCCCAUAGGAAUGCAUGGGUUAGGGUUAUGGUUAGGGUUAGGGUUGGAGCUAGGGUUAGGGUUAGGGUUAGGGUUGGAGUUAGGGUUAGUGUUGGAGCUAGGGUUAGGGUUGGGCUUGGAGCUAGGAUUUUUCUGAGUGCACUGAACCAACUCCCGAGUCUCUAGGACGUUCCUAAAAAAAAUUUAAUUUUUUCCCAUAGGAAUGCAUGGGUUAGGGUUAGGGUUAGGGUUGGAGCUAGGGUUAGGGUUAGGGUUAGGGUUGGAGUUAGGGUUAGUGUUGGAGCUAGGGUUAGGGUUGGGCUUGGAGCUAGGAUUUUUCUGAGUGCAAUGAACCAACUCCCGAGUCUCUAGGACGUUCCUAAAAAAAUUUGAUUUUUUCCCAUAGGAAUGCAUGGGUUAGGGUUAGGGUUAGGGUUGGAGCUAGGGUUAGGGUUAGGGUUAGGGUUGGAGUUAAGGUUAGUGUUGGAGCUAGGGUUAGGGUUGGGCUUGGAGCUAGGAUUUUUCUGAGUGCACUGAACCAACUCCCGAGUCUCUAGGACGUUCCUAAAAAAAUUUGAUUUUUUCCCAUAGGAAUGCAUGGGUUAGGGUUAUGGUUAGGGUUAGGGUUGGAGCUAGGGUUAGGGUUAGGGUUAGGGUUGGAGUUAGGGUUAGUGUUGGAGCUAGGGUUAGGGUUGGGCUUGGAGCUAGGAUUUUUCUGAGUGCAAUGAACCAACCCCCGAGUCUCUAGGACGUUCCUAAAAAAAUCUGAUUUUUUCCCAUAGGAAUGCAUGGGUUAGGGUUAUGGUUAGGGUUAGGGUUGGAGCUAGGGUUAGGGUUAGGGUUAGGGAUGGAGUUAGGGUUAGUGUUGGAGCUAGGGUUAGGGUUGGGCUUGGAGCUAGGAUUUUUCUGAGUGCAAUGAACCAACUCCCGAGUCUCUAGGACGUUCCUAAAAAAAUUUGAUUUUUUCCCAUAGGAAUGCAUGGAUUAGGGUUAGGGUUAGGGUUGGAGCUAGGGUUAGGGUUAGGGUUAGGGUUGGAGUUAGGGUUAGUGUUGGAGCUAGGGUUAGGGUUGGGCUUGGAGCUAGGAUUUUUCUGAGUGCAAUGAACCAACUCCCGAGUCUCUAGGACGUUCCUAAAAAAAUUUGAUUUUUUCCCAUAGGAAUGCAUGGGUUAGGGUUAGGGUUAGGGUUGGAGCUAGGGUUAGGGUUAGGGUUAGGGUUGGAGUUAGGGUUAGUGUUGGAGCUAGGGUUAGGGUUGGGCUUGGAGCUAGGAUUUUUCUGAGUGCACUGAACCAACUCCCGAGUCUCUAGGACAUUCCUAAAAAAAUUUGAUUUUUUCCCAUAGGAAUGCAUGGGUUAGGGUUAGGGUUAGGGUUGGAGCUAGGGUUAGGGUUAGGGUUAGGGUUGGAGUUAGGGUUAGUGUUGGAGCUAGGGUUAGGGUUGGGCUUGGAGCUAGGAUUUUUCUGAGUGCACUGAACCAACUCCCGAGUCUCUAGGACAUUCCUAAAAAAAUUUGAUUUUUUCCCAUAGGAAUGCAUGGGUUAGGGUUAUGGUUAGGGUUAGGGUUGGAGCUAGGGUUAGGGUUAGGGUUAGGGUUGGAGUUAGGGUUAGUGUUGGAGCUAGGGUUAGGGUUGGGCUUGGAGCUAGGAUUUUUCUGAGUGCACUGAACCAACUCCCGAGUCUCUAGGACAUUCCUAAAAAAAUUUGAUUUUUUCCCAUAGGAAUGCAUGGGUUAGGGUUAGGGUUAGGGUUGGAGCUAGGGUUAGGGUUAGGGUUAGGGUUGGAGUUAGGGUUAGUGUUGGAGCUAGGGUAAGGGUUGGGCUUGGAGCUAGGAUUUUUCUGAGUGCAAUGAACCAACUCCCGAGUCUCUUGGACGUUCCUAAAAAAAUUGAUUUUUUCCCAUAGGAAUGCAUGGGUUAGGGUUAGGGUUAGGGUUGGAGCUAGGGUUAGGGUUAGGGUUUGGGUUGGAGUUAGGGUUAGUGUUGGAGCUAGGGUUAGGGUUGGGCUUGGAGCUAGGAUUUUUCUGAGUGCAAUGAACCAACUCCCGAGUCUCUAGGACGUUCCUAAAAAAAUUUGAUUUUUUCCCAUAGGAAUGCAUGGGUUAGGGUUAGGGUUAGGGUUAGGGUUGGAGCUAGGGUUAGGGUUAGGGUUAGGGUUAGGGUUGGAGUUAGGGUUAGUGUUGGAGCUAGGGUUAGGGUUGGGCUUGGAGCUAGGAUUUUUCUGAGUGCAAUGAACCAACUCCCGAGUCUCUAGGACGUUCCUAAAAAAAUUUGAUUUUUUCCCAUAGGAAUGCAUGGGUUAGGGUUAUGGUUAGGGUUAGGGUUGGAGCUAGGGUUAGGGUUAGGGUUAGGGUUGGAGUUAGGGUUAGUGUUGGAGCUAAGGUUAGGGUUGGGCUUGGAGCUAGGAUUUUUCUGAGUGCAAUGAACCAACUCCCGAGUCUCUAGGACGUUCCUAAAAAAAUUUGAUUUUUUCCCAUAGGAAUGCAUGGGUUAGGGUUAGGGUUAGGGUUGGAGCUAGGGUUAGGGUUAGGGUUAGGGUUGGAGUUAGGGUUAGUGUUGGAGCUAGGGUUAGGGUUGGGCUUGGAGCUAGGAUUUUUCUGAGUGCACUGAACCAACUCCCGAGUCUCUAGGACAUUCCUAAAAAAUUUGAUUUUUUUCCCAUAGGAAUGCAUGGGUUAGGGUUAGGGUUAGGGUUAGGGUUGGAGCUAGGGUUAGGGUUAGGGUUAGGGUUGGAGUUAGGGUUAGUGUUGGAGCUAGGGUUAGGGUUGGGCUUGGAGCUAGGAUUUUUCUGAGUGCACUGAACCAACUCCCGAGUCUCUAGGACAUUCCUAAAAAAAAUUGAUUUUUUCCCAUAGGAAUGCAUGGGUUAGGGUUAUGGUUAGGGUUAGGGUUGGAGCUAGGGUUAGGGUUAGGGUUAGGGUUGGAGUUAGGGUUAGUGUUGGAGCUAGGGUUAGGGUUGGGCUUGGAGCUAGGAUUUUUCUGAGUGCAAUGAACCAACUCCCGAGUCUCUUGGACGUUC
This 26946-nucleotide long non-coding RNA is filed under the name Xyrichtys novacula (pearly razorfish). The record is from RNAcentral. Lineage: Eukaryota; Metazoa; Chordata; Actinopteri; Labriformes; Labridae.